AUUGAACGCUGGCGGCAUGCUUUACACAUGCAAGUCGAACGGCAGCGCGGGCUUCGGCCUGGCGGCGAGUGGCGAACGGGUGAGUAAUGCAUCGGAACGUGCCCAGUAGUGGGGGAUAGCUCGGCGAAAGCCGGAUUAAUACCGCAUACGACCUGAGGGUGAAAGCGGGGGACCGAAAGGCCUCGCGCUAUUGGAGCGGCCGAUGUCGGAUUAGCUAGUUGGUGGGGUAAAGGCUUACCAAGGCGACGAUCCGUAGCUGGUCUGAGAGGACGACCAGCCACACUGGGACUGAGACACGGCCCAGACUCCUACGGGAGGCAGCAGUGGGGAAUUUUGGACAAUGGGGGCAACCCUGAUCCAGCCAUGCCGCGUGCGGGAAGAAGGCCUUCGGGUUGUAAACCGCUUUUGUUCGGGAAGAAAUCCUCUGGGCUAAUACCCCGGGGGGAUGACGGUACCGGAAGAAUAAGCACCGGCUAACUACGUG
Molecule: ribosomal RNA, 484 nt
Filed under: uncultured bacterium
Lineage: Bacteria
Description: partial 16S ribosomal RNA
Rfam family: Bacterial small subunit ribosomal RNA
Source: RNAcentral